RNAcentral lists this ribosomal RNA (762 nucleotides) under uncultured bacterium. RNAcentral describes it as "bacterial SSU rRNA". It matches the Rfam family "Bacterial small subunit ribosomal RNA", at positions 86 to 883 of the family's 1533-position model. The record is from RNAcentral.
GCAUGGGGAGCGGCAGACGGGAGAGUAACACGUGGGAACGUGCCCUUCAGUUCGGAACGACCCAGGGAGACUUGGGCUAAUAGCGGAUACGUCCGAAAGGAGAAAGAUUUAUCGCUGAAGGAUCGGCCCGCGUCUGAUUAGCUAGUUGGUGAGGUAACGGCUCACCAAGGCGACGAUCAGUAGCUGGUCUGAGAGGAUGAUCAGCCUCACUGGGACUGAGACACGGCCCAGACUCCUACGGGAGGCAGCAGUGGGGAAUAUUGGACAAUGGGCGCAAGCCUGAUCCAGCCUUGCCGCGUGGAUGAUGAAAGCCCUAGGGUUGUAAAGUCCUUUCGGCGGGGAGCAUAAUGACGGUACCCGCAGAAGAAGCCCCGUUUAUCUUCCUGCCAGCAGCCGCGGUAAUAGCGAAGGGGGCUAGCGUCGAUAGGAAUCACCGGGCGUAAAGCUCAGGUUGGCGGACUCUUAUGUCUGUGGUGAAAUCCGGGAGUUCUAUUCCAGAACUGCGUUAUAUACUCAGAGUCUUGAGUCCGGGAGAGGUGAGUGGAACUGCGAGUCUAGAGGUUAAAUUAGUAGAUAUUCGCAAGAACACCAGUGGUGAAGGCGGCUCACUGGCCCGGUACUGACUCUGAUGUGCGAAAGCGUGGUGAGCAAACAGGAUUAGAUACCCUGGUAGUCCACGCAGUAAACGAUGGAUGCUAGCCGUUGGCAGGCUUUCCUGUCAGUGGCGCAGCUAACGCAUUAAGCAUCCCGCCUGGGGAGUAC